AGUGGAAACUGAAAGGCUUGAGUAUGGUAGGGGCAGAGGGAAUUCCCGGUGUAGCGGUGAAAUGCGUAGAUAUCGGGAAGAACACCAGUGGCGAAGGCGCUCUGCUGGGCCAUUACUGACGCUCAUGGACGAAAGCCAGGGGAGCGAAAGGGAUUAGAUACCCCUGUAGUCCUGGCCGUAAACGAUGAACACUAGGUGUCGGGGGAAUCGACCCCUUCGGUGUCGUAGCUAACGCGUUAAGUGUUCCGCCUGGGGAGUACGCACGCAAGUGUGAAACUCAAAGGAAUUGACGGGGGCCCGCACAAGCGGUGGAGUAUGUGGUUUAAUUCGAUGCAACGCGAAGAACCUUACCAGGGUUUGACAUCCUGCGAACCUCUUAGAAAUUUGAGGGUGCCUUCGGGAAUGCAGUGACAGGUGGUGCAUGGCUGUCGUCAGCUCGUGUCGUGAGAUGUUGGGUUAAGUCCCGCAACGAGCGCAACCCACGUUUUUAGUUGCCAGCAUUUAGUUGGGCACUCUAGAAAGACCGCCGGUGAUAAACCGGAGGAAGGUGUGGAUGACGUCAAGUCAUCAUGCCCCUUACACCCUGGGCUACACACGUACUACAAUGCUACGGACAAAGGGCAGCAAACUCGCGAGAGCUAGCAAAUCCCAUAAACCGUGGCUCAGUUCAGAUCGUAGGCUGCAACUCGCCUACGUGAAGUAGGAAUCGCUAGUAAUCGCAGGUCAGCAUACUGCGGUGAAUACGUUCCCGGGCCUUGUACACACCGCCCGUCACACCAUGGAAGUUGGCCAUGCCCGAAGUCGUUACUCCAACCCUUGUGGAGGAGGACGCCGAAGGUGGGGCUAAUGACUGGGGUGAAGUCGUAACAAGGUAACCGUA
This 880-nucleotide ribosomal RNA is filed under the name uncultured bacterium. RNAcentral's name for it is "bacterial SSU rRNA". It matches the Rfam family "Bacterial small subunit ribosomal RNA", at positions 625 to 1504 of the family's 1533-position model. The record is from RNAcentral.